This 141-nucleotide ribosomal RNA is filed under the name Hypogymnia hypotrypa. RNAcentral's name for it is "5.8S ribosomal RNA". It matches the Rfam family "5.8S ribosomal RNA". Rfam says of the family: 5.8S ribosomal RNA (5.8S rRNA) is a component of the large subunit of the eukaryotic ribosome. It is transcribed by RNA polymerase I as part of the 45S precursor that also contains 18S and 28S rRNA. Lineage: Eukaryota; Fungi; Ascomycota; Lecanoromycetes; Lecanorales; Parmeliaceae. The record is from RNAcentral. RNAcentral also lists the same sequence under 1 other name.
AUCUCUUGGUUCCAGCAUCGAUGAAGAACGCAGCGAAAUGCGAUAAGUAAUGUGAAUUGCAGAAUUCAGUGAAUCAUCGAAUCUUUGAACGCACAUUGCGCCCCUCGGUAUUCCGGGUGGCAUGCCUGUUCGAGCGUCAUU